RNAcentral lists this ribosomal RNA (470 nucleotides) under uncultured bacterium. RNAcentral's name for it is "bacterial SSU rRNA". It matches the Rfam family "Bacterial small subunit ribosomal RNA", at positions 67 to 548 of the family's 1533-position model. The record is from RNAcentral.
CGGAGUGUAGAGGAGCUUGCUUUUCUAUGCUUAGUGGCGAACGGGUGAGUAACGCGUGAGGAACCUGCCUCAAAGAGGGGGACAACAGUUGGAAACGACUGCUAAUACCGCAUAAGCCCACAGAGCCGCAUGGCUCAGGGGGAAAAGGAGCAAUCCGCUUUGAGAUGGCCUCGCGUCCGAUUAGCUGGUUGGUGAGGUAACGGCCCACCAAGGCGACGAUCGGUAGCUGGACUGAGAGGUUGAACGGCCACAUUGGGACUGAGACACGGCCCAGACUCCUACGGGAGGCAGCAGUGGGGAAUAUUACACAAUGGGGGGAACCCUGAUGCAGCGACGCCGCGUGGAGGAAGAAGGUCUUCGGAUUGUAAACUCCUGUUGUUGGGGACGAUAAUGACGGUACCCAACAAGGAAGUGACGGCUAACUACGUGCCAGCAGCCGCGGUAAAACGUAGGUCACAAGCGUUGUCCGG